Molecule: ribosomal RNA, 417 nt
Filed under: Idiomarina fontislapidosi
Lineage: Bacteria; Pseudomonadati; Pseudomonadota; Gammaproteobacteria; Alteromonadales; Idiomarinaceae
Description: bacterial SSU rRNA
Rfam family: Bacterial small subunit ribosomal RNA
Source: RNAcentral
UUGCUUCUUUGCUGACGAGCGGCGGACGGGUGAGUAAUACUUGGGAACUUGCCUCUGGGCGGGGGACAACCACUGGAAACGGUGGCUAAUACCGCAUAAUGUCUACGGACCAAAGUGGGGGACCUUCGGGCCUCACACCUAGAGAUGGGCCCAAGUGGGAUUAGCUAGUUGGUGAGGUAAAGGCUCACCGGGCGAAAUCCCUAGCUGUUCUGAGAGGAUGAUCACCACCUGGGACUGAACACGGCCCAAACUCCUACGGGAGGCAGCAUGGGGAAUAUUGCACAAUGGGCGCAAGCCUGAUGCACCAUGCCGCGUGUGUGAAGAAGGCCUUCGGGUUGUAAGCACUUUCAUGGUGAGGAAGGUCAUGUUUAUAGUUGCUGAUUGACGUUAGCCACAGAAGAACCACCGGCUAACUCC